This 406-nucleotide ribosomal RNA is filed under the name uncultured bacterium. RNAcentral's name for it is "partial 16S ribosomal RNA". It matches the Rfam family "Bacterial small subunit ribosomal RNA", at positions 28 to 526 of the family's 1533-position model. The record is from RNAcentral.
GAUGAACGCUGACAGAAUGCUUAACACAUCAGCAAUGGAGUGGUGGCGGACGGGUGAGUAACGCGUAAAGAACUUACCUCACAGUUAGGGACAACAUUUGGAAACGAAUGCUAAUACCUAAUACUGUGAGAGAGCUUUGCGUCCCAUUAGCUAGUUGGAGUGGUAACGGCUCACAAAGGCGAGGAUGGGUAGCCGGCCUGGGAGGGUGAUCGGCCCAAAGGGGACUGAGACACGACCCUUACUCCUACGGGAGGCAGCAGUGGGGAAUAUUGGACAAUGGACCAAAGUCUGAUCCAGCAAUUCGGUGUGCACGAUGAAGUUUUCGGAAUGUAAAGUGCUUUCAGUUUGGAAGCGGUACCAACAGAAGAAGUGACGGCUAAAUACGUGCCAGCCGCCGCGGUAAUAC